Molecule: transfer RNA, 80 nt
Filed under: Apaloderma vittatum (bar-tailed trogon)
Lineage: Eukaryota; Metazoa; Chordata; Aves; Trogoniformes; Trogonidae
Rfam family: tRNA
About the family: Transfer RNA (tRNA) molecules are approximately 80 nucleotides in length.
Source: Rfam by way of RNAcentral
GGCUGGUUAGCUCAGUGGCUGAGCGCGGUGCUGACAACAGUGACAACACCGAGGCUGCGGGUUCGAUUCCUGCUCGGUCC